This is a long non-coding RNA of Zootermopsis nevadensis, 568 nucleotides long. RefSeq lists it as uncharacterized. NCBI's taxonomy places the organism in Eukaryota, Metazoa, Arthropoda, Insecta, Blattodea, Termopsidae. The record is from RefSeq and is a predicted model, not a curated record.
AAAUGACGAUCAUUAGCUUCGUGGCACAGUUGAUAACGGUCAGCAACUGCUGACCACCGAUAACCAGUGUCAUUGGCUUUGUGCUGAAUACUGCGUCCUUCAAGGAACCCUACAAAUAAAAGUUCUGUACUGGCCUUCAGUUGAAAUACUGCAGAGAUCUGUUACAACAUGCAGUUCCUUGGUUGAAAUGCAAAGGAGGAUGGUAUUCACUACACUAAGACGUUCAACAAAUAAGAAUAACGUAUUAGCUUAAAUGCAGGAUGAUUAUAUACUCCGCAGUCAACACAGCAAAGAAUGAGAAGGCAGUUUUCUGUUUCUAUGACAUAAAGCAGCCAGCAGGAGUACAAGAAAAAGAUGUCUGUUUGUUUCAAAUUUUAAAGCUUGUAGUUCAUUUAUUUCUUGGCAGAUGUAAAUAGCUGACUGCUGUAUAAAAAGCUAGAGCACCAGACUUAAAUAUAACAAAUAACUCACGCAAAUAUUUAAACACUGGUAGUCACCUUAAAUUUGCAUGUUAGAAAAACGGAAUGUAAUGCAUAUUCCAUAAUAAAAGUGCUAUUAAUAAACAUAA